Molecule: ribosomal RNA, 425 nt
Filed under: Bacillus subtilis
Lineage: Bacteria; Bacillati; Bacillota; Bacilli; Caryophanales; Bacillaceae
Description: bacterial SSU rRNA
Rfam family: Bacterial small subunit ribosomal RNA
Source: RNAcentral
GAAGCAACGGGAAGAACCUUACCAGGUCUUGACAUCCUGUGACAAUCCCAGAGAUAGGAGGUCCCCUUCGGGGGCAGAGUGACAGGUGGUGCAUGGUUGUUGUCAGCUCGUGUCGUGAGAUGUUGGGUUAAGUCCCGCAACGAGCGCAACCCUUGAUCUUAGUUGCCAGCAUUCAGUUGGGCACUUUAAGGUGACUGCCGGUGACAAACCGGAGGAAGGUGGGGAUGACGUCAAAUCAUCAUGCCCCUUAUGACCUGGGGUACACACGUGGUACAAUGGACAGAACAAAGGGCAGCGAAACCGCGAGGUUAAGCCAAUCCCACAAAUCUGUUUUCAGUUCGGAUUGCCGUUUGCAACUUGGAUGGGGGAAGGUGGGAUCGGUUGUUAUUGGGGAUUAGCAAGGCGCGGGGAAUACGUUCCCGGGC